AUGAGUACAGACACAUCAAAUGAACUCGGUCCACAGAAGCCGCACAACGUGGAAGUAGAAGAACCUGGUGAUGUCAACAAUCCAGCACAAUGUAGGAGGAGAGAAGCUGAAGCAGAGCGGCGGUGGCCUAAAAAGCCUGUUAUCCACAGAAGACGGUCCGACACCAGGACACAAGGGUCGAUGGACACGUACGACUUUGAAAAAAUGACGAUUUCAAAGCAAACUGAAGGAUUAUUGUCACAAGGAAAAAAAUCUGAAACCAGAAAGAUUCAUGGACUCAAUCAUCCAAGUAAAGACUUACUUGCGCAACAAAGGGAAGUGGAGAUGAACAGAUUGAUUCAUGCAAAAAAACUCAUGCUACUAGAGACACUACUGAAUCUCGAGGUAAAGGUAAGACAGAAGCUUCAAAGUGUUGAAGCUUCUGCAGGUGAUGACUGGAAACAUAGAGAGCAGAGUCACAACAGGGCCGUUUGGCCACAAACCACGCUGUCUGAGCAGCGCAGGAGACAGGAGGGAGGUCAGCAUCUGAGGGAAAGGCAGCGCCCCAGCGAUGAGAGGAGAACGAGGGACACCUGGAGAUUAGGUGUAAGGCCAGAGCACAGAAGAGAAGUCAAUGAGGCGUCUACAGGAACCAAAUACAAAGCAAAAGAGAUGCACAGGACAGAAAAUGAACAUGAAACGCCUCAGUGGACUCCACACAAACCUGCUGCUUUACGUUCAACAGACAAUCACAGAGCUGCAGAAGGCAAAACCAAAGUCUUCCCUCCUAUUUCUACGCCCUCCUCUUCAAGCAGCUCGCAGCAGCACGAGGUGGGACUGGCACGGAGCACAGACGCCAGCUUCCACCUCCUUCCCUGCAGGAUCUGCAACAGGAAAUUCAUGAGCGCGAGAUUAGAGAAGCACGUCCAGAUCUGUGAAAAGGUGAAGCAGCCGCGUCGACGUGUCUUCAACUCCUAUAUUAACAGGACCAAGGGUUCGGCUAUAGAGGAGUUCUGCAAAACCCACAGCAGAAGCAAGAUUCCGGACGUAUGA
Molecule: long non-coding RNA, 1032 nt
Filed under: Betta splendens (Siamese fighting fish)
Lineage: Eukaryota; Metazoa; Chordata; Actinopteri; Anabantiformes; Osphronemidae
Description: lncRNA (ENSBSLG00000024592.1)
Source: RNAcentral